UACGAAGGGGGCUAGCGUUGUUCGGAAUCACUGGGCGUAAAGCGCACGUAGGCGGACCUUCAAGUCAGGGGUGAAAUCCCGGGGCUCAACCUCGGAACUGCCUUUGAUACUGUUGGUCUUGAGUCCGGAAGAGGUGGGUGGAAUUCCUAGUGUAGAGGUGAAAUUCGUAGAUAUUAGGAAGAACACCGGUGGCGAAGGCGGCCCACUGGUCCGGUACUGACGCUGAGGUGCGAAAGCGUGGGGAGCAAACAGG
Molecule: ribosomal RNA, 253 nt
Filed under: uncultured bacterium
Lineage: Bacteria
Description: partial 16S ribosomal RNA
Rfam family: Bacterial small subunit ribosomal RNA
Source: RNAcentral